GACAGAGGGUGCAAACGUUGUUCGGAAUUACUGGGCAUAAAGCGCACGUAGGUGGUCCGCUAAGUCGCGUGUGAAAUCCCCCGGCUCAACCGGGGAAAUGCGCGUGAUACUGGCGGGCUUGAGAUCGGGAGGGGUGAAUGGAACUCCAGGUGGAGCGGUGAAAUGCGUAGAUAUCUGGAGGAACACCGGUGGCGAAGGCAAUCCCCUGGGCCUGCACUGACGCUCAUGCACGAAAGCGUGGGGAGCAAACAGG
Molecule: ribosomal RNA, 253 nt
Filed under: uncultured bacterium
Lineage: Bacteria
Description: partial 16S ribosomal RNA
Rfam family: Bacterial small subunit ribosomal RNA
Source: RNAcentral